Molecule: long non-coding RNA, 1431 nt
Filed under: Lactuca sativa (garden lettuce)
Lineage: Eukaryota; Viridiplantae; Streptophyta; Magnoliopsida; Asterales; Asteraceae
Description: long non-coding RNA (LSAT_LNC007010)
Source: RNAcentral
UUUUACACAACCAAAAAUAAUUUAUUUUAUUAGCUCAAAUAUUGAAGUACACUUCUUAUACGAUUCCAAAAAUCUUCCCAGGAUCAUUCCUACAUCUUCCAUAUCUUGAUUUAAAAUCAAGAUUCCGUAUAUAAAAUCAUUUUAUACAUAAUCUACACACAUACUCUACUUAUCGUAACCCAAUUUCACACUCAAAGACUUCACAUAUGCAAGACGCACUCAAAGAUUUCAUAGAUAACAAUACAUACUCAAAGAUUUUGUAGAUAACAAUACAUACGAAACCAUAUAAGAUUAUAACGAUUGACUUCAAAAUGAUAACAACUGCCUCAUCAUUCUUCAUCUCGUGUCUUCUUAAUAAACAGCAGCCUCCAAGUUCUUCUUCAUCCCCUGUCAAACCACCCAACCCAAACAACCAUCGAUUUCUGUCAAAAAUAAAACCCAAAUCACCCCUCAAUGGCUCAUGUUGAUAUUCACCACCCCUACAGCCCCUUUCCCAUGAACAGAUAAACAAAAUCCCAGAAGAAACAUUUUUUUUACCUGUGGCUGAUCGGGACUGCCAAAACAAGGGGGAAACAUCGGGAUUGUCGAGCAAACACCACCGAGGCCCUGACCAGUGACGUAUGGCUGCCAACCGGACUUCCAUCGGACCUCUUUUGCCUCUCGUACCACACCCACGCAUCUCCCCUUUGCACACCGCUGCUGGAAUCGAAGCAAGCAGUCGAGAAGCUGCUUGAACAGCAGCCUCGCUGCCUCCCUUUUUCUUCCCCUUCGGACUCCUCGACCCGGAGACUCCUCCCUCUUCGCGAAUCAACCGACGAAGCGCUCCUGCGAGAUUUCGUCUACCUUCGUUCACUGCUUCCGUUCAUAUGCCUUCGUAGCCUUUAUUCCAUUCUUUCCCCUUAACCCGAUCGGUAUCCUUUUUCCUUCCGUCCCCUUCACGAUUGCACCCCCGAAACCAACGGCAGCGCCGCUGCCUUCUUGUUCGUUUUUCCCUCUCUUCGUUCGUUUGAUUUCAGUCGUUCAUUCCCGUUCCAAUCGCCUUUUCUUCGUUCAUAUUUCCUCCCCGAUCGAUCAAAUGAACAAAGACAUAAAAAGCCCUAAGUUACAUUAUAAUUGUGAAAUAACCAACCUGCCCCCAUUAUUAAAACACUUAUUCAAAAUAAGUCCAAUCCCCAAACCUUAAACCCAUUUAUUUAAAACAACCGAAAUGGACCCGAAAGUAUCUCAAAAAUUCAAAAAUUGUGGAUUUGCAGUUUCUCACGUCAAGCUUCUCAAACAAAACAAAUUCAAACGAUUGAAACUCACGCUUCAAGGGUAAGUGCUUACGACCCCGUUUUUAAUAUUUUAAUUAUUUCAUUUCCUUUUUAUGCAAAAAUAUAAUAACUCUAGUUUAUAAAAUUAUUAUUAUUUAACAAUUUACCAUAAUGUUAC